This 530-nucleotide ribosomal RNA is filed under the name Plynoides sp. 00052196. Its description in RNAcentral is "partial 16S ribosomal RNA". It matches the Rfam family "Bacterial large subunit ribosomal RNA", at positions 1809 to 2610 of the family's 2925-position model. The record is from RNAcentral. Lineage: Eukaryota; Metazoa; Arthropoda; Insecta; Hemiptera; Reduviidae.
AAAAACAUGUCCUUUUGUAUUAUUUAUUUAAGGUCUAACCUGCCCAAUGAUUUUAUUUAAUGGCCGCGGUAUUCUAACCGUGCUAAGGUAGCAUAAUCAUUUGUCUUUUAAUUGAAGGCUAGAAUGAAUGGUUGGACGAGGCAUAAUCUUUCUUCAAAUUAAUUUUUGAAUUUAAUUUUUUAGUUAAAAAGCUGAAAUGUUUUUUUGGGACGAGAAGACCCUAUAGAUCUUUACUAUUUAUAGUAUUACUUAUUUUAGUAUAUCAUUUAAAGUAAUUCUAAUGAUAGUUUGAUUGGGGUGAUUGUAGAAUAAUAAUAACUUCUAUUUUUAUAUAUCAAUAAUUAUUGUUUAAUUGAUCCAUAUAUUAUGAUUAUAAGAUUAAGUUACCUUAGGGAUAACAGCGUAAUUUUUUUGGAAAGUUCAUAUUUAUAAAAAAGUUUGCGACCUCGAUGUUGGAUUAAAAUAAGUGGUAGGUGUAGCAGUUUACUAACUAAGUCUGUUCGACUUUUAAUUUUUUACAUGAUCUGAGU